Molecule: small nuclear RNA, 151 nt
Filed under: Peromyscus maniculatus bairdii (prairie deer mouse)
Lineage: Eukaryota; Metazoa; Chordata; Mammalia; Rodentia; Cricetidae
Description: U1 spliceosomal RNA (ENSPEMG00000000941.2)
Rfam family: U1 spliceosomal RNA
About the family: U1 is a small nuclear RNA (snRNA) component of the spliceosome (involved in pre-mRNA splicing). Its 5' end forms complementary base pairs with the 5' splice junction, thus defining the 5' donor site of an intron.
Source: Rfam by way of RNAcentral
AUACUUACCUGGCAGGGGAGAUCACGAAGGUGGUUUUCCCAGGGCGAGGCUUAUCCAUUGCGCUCCAGAUGUGCUGACCCCUGCGAUUUCCCCAAAUGCGGGAAACUGCCUAAUUUGUGGUAGUGGGGGACUGCGUUCGCGCUCUCACCUG